RNAcentral lists this ribosomal RNA (247 nucleotides) under uncultured bacterium. RNAcentral describes it as "partial 16S ribosomal RNA". It matches the Rfam family "Bacterial small subunit ribosomal RNA", at positions 523 to 769 of the family's 1533-position model. The record is from RNAcentral.
AUACGUAGGGGGCAAGCGUUAUCCGGAUUUACUGGGUGUAAAGGGCGUGUAGGCGGGAUUUCAAGUCAGAUGUGAAAACCGAAGGCUCAACCUUCGGCCUGCAUUUGAAACUGAAGUUCUUGAGUGCUGGAGAGGCUAACGGAAUUCCUAGUGUAGCGGUGAAAUGCGUAGAUAUUAGGAGGAACACCAGUGGCGAAGGCGACUUACUGGACGAUAACUGACGCUGAGGCUCGAAAGCGUGGGGAAC